RNAcentral lists this ribosomal RNA (460 nucleotides) under uncultured bacterium. RNAcentral's name for it is "partial 16S ribosomal RNA". It matches the Rfam family "Bacterial small subunit ribosomal RNA", at positions 338 to 795 of the family's 1533-position model. The record is from RNAcentral.
CCUACGGGAGGCAGCAGUGAGGAAUAUUGGUCAAUGGGCGGAAGCCUGAACCAGCCAAGUAGCGUGUAGGAUGACGGCCCUACGGGUUGUAAACUGCUUUUAUACGGGAAUAACGCGCCUUACGUGUAGGGCUUUGCAUGUACCGUAUGAAUAAGGACCGGCUAAUUCCGUUCCAGCAGCCGCGGUAAUACGGAAGGUCCGGGCGUUAUACGGAUUUAUUGGGUUUAAAGGGAGAGUAGGCGGCAUGUCAAGCGUGCUGUGAAAUUUCCGGGCUCAACCCGGGCCUUGCAGCGCGAACUGUCGUGCUUGAGUCCGCGGAAGGCAGGCGGAAUUCGUCGUGUAGCGGUGAAAUGCUUAGAUAUGACGAAGAACCCCGAUUGCGAAGGCAGCUUGCUGCAGCGGAACUGACGCUGAUGCUCGAAAGCGCGGGUAUCGAACAGGAUUAGAUACCCUUGUAGUC